This 417-nucleotide ribosomal RNA is filed under the name Sepia officinalis (common cuttlefish). RNAcentral's name for it is "partial 12S rRNA". Lineage: Eukaryota; Metazoa; Mollusca; Cephalopoda; Sepiida; Sepiidae. The record is from RNAcentral.
AUACAAAUGUCUUAAAUUUAUAUAAAUUAGUAUAAAAAAAAGUGAAGUGAGUAGUUAAUUAGAAUAGUUGAGAAUAACAAUUGUAGGUAAAAUUUUUUUAAAUUGUUAUUAUUAACUGAGUUGUUCUAUAAUUAAAACUUUGAAAAUAAGGUUGCUUGAAACUAGGAUUAGAUACCCUAUUAUUCUUUAUUUUAAAUUUUUUUUACUUAAGUAGUGUAAAUAGUAGUAAUAUAAUGUAUUUGAAACUUAAAAAGCUUGGCGGUGUUAUAUAUCCAUUUAGGGGAGCUUGUUUAUUAAUUUGAUAAUCCUCAAUUAACUCUUACUUUUUCUUGAAUAUGCUUAUAUACAGUUUGUGUAUUGCUGUCAUCAGUUUAUUUCGUAAGAUUGUUAAAGGACUUGAAAGUAAAAAUUACUAAA